CACGUAGGAUCCAAGCGUUAUCCGGAUUUACUGGGCGUAAAGCGCGUGUAGGCGGUUGGGAUAGUUGGAUGUGAAAGCUCCCGGCUUAACUGGGAGAGGUCGUUCAAAACUUCCCAACUAGGGUUUGGUAGAGGAAAAUGGAAUUCCGGGUGUAGUGGUGAAAUGCGUAGAUAUCCGGAGGAACACCAGUGGCGAAAGCGAUUUUCUGGACCGAUACUGACGCUCAGACGCGAAAGCUAGGGUAGCAAACGGG
Molecule: unclassified non-coding RNA, 253 nt
Filed under: uncultured Anaerolineales bacterium
Lineage: Bacteria; Bacillati; Chloroflexota; Anaerolineae; Anaerolineales
Description: contains 16S-23S intergenic spacer region
Rfam family: Bacterial small subunit ribosomal RNA
Source: RNAcentral